Long non-coding RNA from Marmota flaviventris (yellow-bellied marmot), 1163 nucleotides. RefSeq lists it as uncharacterized. The record is from RefSeq and is a predicted model, not a curated record. Lineage: Eukaryota; Metazoa; Chordata; Mammalia; Rodentia; Sciuridae.
UAUGCCCAGCUGCAAUUAUAUCACCUCACUGGACACAACCAGGCAACAAUGACUUUCACUGGGUGUAACCAGUCAACGUAUACCACCAACUUGGAACUGUAUUUACAUUGCUGGUCCUGCUUCAUUGAAGAGUUUUGCUCCAAGGACAUCUGUGAGACUGGCCACCUUGCUGCCCAUCCCUAGACUGACUCCACCAUUCCCUGACAUCCAGCCAUCAGCUGGAGAGAACCACCAGACAAGGACAACAUCUAUUCUUUGGCUAAGAGAAAUUACAUUGCAUUGGAGAUUUGCAGGUGCCUGGUAAUAAGGAACUGAAGUGGGAACUAGAAAUAUGAAAAAUUUCAAGUCACAGUUGAUCAUCUCUAGGAAUUUGAGUCUUACAAAAGACACAGGUCAGAACUUUUCAAAGAGUAGUAUAAGGAUCACCCGAAUCAGAUUCAACUGGAAUUUUUCUUCUUGGCCUAGACCUACUGACUUGGAAUCCUUGGGGUUGUCCCAGUAAUCCAAUUUUAACAUUAAUUUCCAAGUGAUGUUUUUAUCCACCACUAUAGGAAGUUACAACUCUUUGGACUUUUCAAAGGAUUUUCAUCCUCAGUUUAUCUUCCUUCUUUGAAAGAACAUGAAAAUGUAUUGAGCUGAGACAAAAUUUGUUUGUCCAGAGUUCAGAAGCUGAGAAAGCUAUGUCUUGACUCUUUAUUAGGAAGAGACUGUGUUAUAGUUUGUAUAAAAAUUCUCUCAAAGACUUAUGUAUUGAAGGGUUAAUCCCUGGCCCUUGGCACUAUUGGGAGGUGGUGGAAACUUAGGAAGGGGGUACCUAGAUGAAAGACCUAGGUCAUGGAGGGCCUAUAACUAUGAAGGAUCUAUCGGUCCUUGAAGGGUAUGUCUUUUUUCUGGUCCCUCUCCCUGUCACUGGCUGCCAUGAGGUGAGCAGCUCUGCCUCACUCUGUGUUCCAAAGAGCACCAUGAUAUGAUGUUCAAUCUCACCACAGACCCAGAAACCACAAAGCCAAGUGAAUAUGGACUGAAACCUCUGAAAUCAUGAACCAAAAUAAGUAUUUCCUCCUUUAAGUUGGUUUUUGUCAAUCAUUUUGUCAUAGUGACAGAAAGCUGACAAAUGUGGUAUAUCUGUCUCAAAAUAAAGAACUCAUGGAAAUAAAACUGCU